Molecule: ribosomal RNA, 589 nt
Filed under: Hanseniaspora uvarum
Lineage: Eukaryota; Fungi; Ascomycota; Saccharomycetes; Saccharomycodales; Saccharomycodaceae
Description: partial large subunit ribosomal RNA
Rfam family: Eukaryotic large subunit ribosomal RNA
Source: RNAcentral
UCACUCGGCAUACUUAGUACGGCGAGUGAAGCGGUAAAAGCUCAAAUUUGAAAUCUGGUACUUUCAGUGCCCGAGUUGUAAUUUGUAGAAUUUGUCUUUGAUUAGGUCCUUGUCUAUGUUCCUUGGAACAGGACGUCAUAGAGGGUGAGAAUCCCGUUUGGCGAGGAUACCUUUUCUCUGUAAGACUUUUUCGAAGAGUCGAGUUGUUUGGGAAUGCAGCUCAAAGUGGGUGGUAAAUUCCAUCUAAAGCUAAAUAUUGGCGAGAGACCGAUAGCGAACAAGUACAGUGAUGGAAAGAUGAAAAGAACUUUGAAAAGAGAGUGAAAAAGUACGUGAAAUUGUUGAAAGGGAAGGGCAUUUGAUCAGACAUGGUGUUUUUUGCAUGCACUCGCCUCUCGUGGGCUUGGGCCUCUCAAAAAUUUCACUGGGCCAACAUCAAUUCUGGCAGCAGGAUAAAUCAUUAAGAAUGUAGCUACUUCGGUAGUGUUAUAGCUUUUUGGAAUACUGUUAGCCGGGAUUGAGGACUGCGCUUCGGCAAGGAUGUUGGCAUAAUGGUUAAAUGCCGCCCGUCUUGAACCCCCCGAAACCA